GUGUCAGCAGCCGCGGUAAUACGAAGGGGGCUAGCGUUGUUCGGAAUUACUGGGCGUAAAGCGUAUGCAGGCGGAUCGUUAAGUCGGGGGUGAAAUCCCGAGGCUCAACCUCGGAACUGCCUUCGAUACUGACGGUCUUGAGUCCGGGAGAGGUGAGUGGAACUCCGAGUGUAGAGGUGAAAUUCGUAGAUAUUCGGAAGAACACCAGUGGCGAAGGCGGCUCACUGGCCCGGUACUGACGCUGAGAUACGAAAGCGUGGGGAGCAAACAGGAUUAGAUACCCUGGUAGUCCACGCCGUAAACGAUGGGUGCUAGCCGUCGGCAAGUUUACUUGUCGGUGGCGCAGCUAACGCAUUAAGCACCCCGCCUGGGGAGUACGAUCGCAAGAUUAAA
RNAcentral lists this ribosomal RNA (393 nucleotides) under uncultured bacterium. RNAcentral describes it as "bacterial SSU rRNA". It matches the Rfam family "Bacterial small subunit ribosomal RNA", at positions 505 to 898 of the family's 1533-position model. The record is from RNAcentral.